AGUAGGCCCAGAGCCAUAGAGAGAGUUGCGACAACUCCGUUCACUCCAAUGGACCAGUUUUUUACAGCAAUGGCGGAUCGUGGAGCCGCUCAAUAGUUCCCGGAAGUUAGCGCUCAUACUAUCAGCGCCGUAGAGAUGCAGCAGAAGAGACCGCUGUGAUGAACUUUUAAAAGAACGAGAACCACCUGAAGACUCCCUGUAAAGAGACAUCAACCUCACAAUGAGUCUCUUCACUGGUUUUGGCAAGUCUUUCCCUGCUCUUUGUG
Molecule: long non-coding RNA, 266 nt
Organism: Sinocyclocheilus rhinocerous
Lineage: Eukaryota; Metazoa; Chordata; Actinopteri; Cypriniformes; Cyprinidae
Exons: 2
Source: RefSeq, a predicted model, not a curated record